This 485-nucleotide ribosomal RNA is filed under the name uncultured Derxia sp. Its description in RNAcentral is "bacterial SSU rRNA". It matches the Rfam family "Bacterial small subunit ribosomal RNA", at positions 8 to 488 of the family's 1533-position model. Lineage: Bacteria; Pseudomonadati; Pseudomonadota; Betaproteobacteria; Burkholderiales; Alcaligenaceae. The record is from RNAcentral.
AGAGUUUGAUCCUGGCUCAGAUUGAACGCUGGCGGCAUGCCUUACACAUGCAAGUCGAACGGUAACGCGGGGGCAACCCUGGCGACGAGUGGCGAACGGGUGAGUAAUACAUCGGAACAUAUCCAGUAGCGGGGGAUAACCUAUCGAAAGAUGGACUAAUACCGCAUACGAUCUACGGAUGAAAGCAGGGGACCGCAAGGCCUUGCACUAUUGGAGUGGCCGAUGUCGGAUUAGCUAGUUGGUGAGGUAAAGGCUUACCAAGGCGACGAUCCGUAGCUGGUCUGAGAGGACGAUCAGCCACACUGGAACUGAGACACGGUCCAGACUCCUACGGGAGGCAGCAGUGGGGAAUUUUGGACAAUGGGCGCAAGCCUGAUCCAGCCAUGCCGCGUGAGUGAAGAAGGCCUUCGGGUUGUAAAGCUCUUUCGGUGAAGACGAAACGGUUCGCGCUAAUAACGCGGACUAAUGACGGUACUCACAGAAGA